AAGGAGUUAUGAAGAUACCUCACUGAAAGCAAGCAGAAAGCUGGAAGGGAUGAAAGGGAAGCUCUGUAGGAGCCAUGCUACAGGACCUUGGAGACUGCCAAGGUGAAGUACACAAAUGGGUCCAGAUGAAUGAACAGACAUAUGGAUGGAUGGACAAACAUACAACAAUUUGAGUAGGCUGCAUCAGAAGUGAAGCCUGAACUGAGCAGAAGACCCUGGGACAGUUCUGUACCUGCAGGUUCCAGAACUUCACACUGAAUGUUGGGUAAUGCUAGAUGUCCUCCUCUUUAUGCAGUCCAGUCUCCAAAGGAAGCUUCACAAUGCCAGGCCAAGAUGAAAGAAGAGAGGCUGGAUAUCGCUUUUUGUCACAGCAACUGGGAGAAAGCAGCAAGAAAGUGAGGUUUAGUUCCCCUUGGGUCUCUGUUGUUCCCCUACUGGCCCGGGCAAGUGGCACCCAAUGUGUGGGGCUUGAGGUACAAAGAAAAAACCAGAACGUUGCUUGAGUGAAUGGCCAUUCCUCUACCUGAAUCACCACCUCAUUGGCAAGUGAAGAUUUUCACUGAAUCACCGCCUCAUUGGAAAGUGAAGAUUCACACAGUGAUCACCACAGAAGCCCGCCUGUGAUACAGAUCUGACUAAGGUACAGAAGGAACAUACCCAGGAGAUGACUAUCUUUGAAGAGAUUGUUUCUUUGUCAUUUUCACCAUGCUGAACCACAGAGGAGAGCACAGAGCUCAGUGGUGGAGGAAGAGAGGAG
This is a long non-coding RNA of Jaculus jaculus (lesser Egyptian jerboa), 757 nucleotides long. RefSeq lists it as uncharacterized. NCBI's taxonomy places the organism in Eukaryota, Metazoa, Chordata, Mammalia, Rodentia, Dipodidae. The record is from RefSeq and is a predicted model, not a curated record. The transcript is spliced from 4 exons.